UGUCUCUUAUUGUCGCCAGCUCAAGGGAACUUUAAUCACAAACAACAUGCUCCGAACCCGAGAACAAAACACACAGAAGUUUACGGUGUUUAGAGUAGAAAGGGCUCCUAUGAAUGCGUUCUAGGCUGGAUUAUAUUUCUUUAAAAUACUAAUGUAACUGUCCGUCUAAAAUAAAUCGAGGACGGCUGCAGAAGAAGUCCGACAAUGAGCAUUAUGAGGCUAUGACCCCGACCGACCGACGCCUAAUAAGUUUCUGUGUAGCUCCCAUUUUCUAUCUAGAAAUGUCCUGCUGGGUUUCCAUUGCAAAAGACAGCUAAGGUCUACAAUGUCAGGAUCUACUGAACCAUCACAACUACUCAUGUCAGUGAAGAAUAUAAAAGAAGAAGAAUCUGAUAAUUUCCUUCAAGAGGAGUAUCUGUUUGAAAUUCAGACAGUCGAAGAAACGCCUGAACUGGAACAUGACUGUAAGACUGAGACGCACACAUCACCAACCUUGAACUGCAAAGAAGAAAAUUCUUCUCUGAUGGAAAUUAAAGAGUAACCCGAUUUAAGAGAAUAUGGUGAUGACGAUUCUUCUACAAAAAUGUCCUGCUGGGUUUCCAUUGCAAAAGACAGCUGAGGUCUACAAUGUCAGGAUCUACUGAACCAUCACAACUACUCAUGGCAGUGAAGAAUAUAAAAGAAGAAGAAUCUGAUCAUUUCCUACAAGAGUAUCUGUUUGAAAUUCAGACAGUGGAAGAAAAGCCUGAACUGGAUCAUGACUGUAAGACUGAGAUGCACACAUCACCAACCUUGAGCUGCAAAGAAGAAAAUUCUUCUCUGAUCGAUAUUAAAGAGGAACCAGAUUUAAGAGAAUGUGGUGAUGACGAUUCUUCUACAAAACUAAAGUCAAGAAUGUCUGGAUUUACUGAACCUUCACAACUGCCGACUUCAGUGAAGAAGGAGAUAAAAGAAGAAGAAUUUGAUGCUUUCCUACAAGAGAGUCUGUCUACAUUUAAGACAGUGGAAGAAAAGCCUGGACUGGAAAAUGAA
Long non-coding RNA from Clupea harengus (Atlantic herring), 1032 nucleotides. The record is from Ensembl. NCBI's taxonomy places the organism in Eukaryota, Metazoa, Chordata, Actinopteri, Clupeiformes, Clupeidae.